Molecule: ribosomal RNA, 254 nt
Filed under: uncultured bacterium
Lineage: Bacteria
Description: partial 16S ribosomal RNA
Rfam family: Bacterial small subunit ribosomal RNA
Source: RNAcentral
CACGAACCGUACGAACGUUAUUCGGAAUUACUGGGCUUAAAGGGUUUGUAGGCGGCCUUGUAAGUCAGGUGUGAAAUCCCUCGGCUCAACCGAGGAAUAGCGCUUGAUACUGCAAGGCUUGAGGGAGACAGGGGUAAGCGGAACUGAUGGUGGAGCGGUGAAAAUGCGUUGAUAUCAUCAGGAACACCGGUGGCGAAAGCGGCUUACUGGGUCUCUUCUGACGCUGAGGAACGAAAGCUAGGGGAGCGAACGGG